RNAcentral lists this ribosomal RNA (2786 nucleotides) under Escherichia coli. RNAcentral's name for it is "bacterial LSU rRNA". It matches the Rfam family "Bacterial large subunit ribosomal RNA". Lineage: Bacteria; Pseudomonadati; Pseudomonadota; Gammaproteobacteria; Enterobacterales; Enterobacteriaceae. The record is from RNAcentral.
AGCGUACACGGUGGAUGCCCUGGCAGUCAGAGGCGAUGAAGGACGUGCUAAUCUGCGAUAAGCGUCGGUAAGGUGAUAUGAACCGUUAUAACCGGCGAUUUCCGAAUGGGGAAACCCAGUGUGUUUCGACACACUAUCAUUAACUGAAUCCAUAGGUUAAUGAGGCGAACCGGGGGAACUGAAACAUCUAAGUACCCCGAGGAAAAGAAAUCAACCGAGAUUCCCCCAGUAGCGGCGAGCGAACGGGGAGGAGCCCAGAGCCUGAAUCAGUGUGUGUGUUAGUGGAAGCGUCUGGAAAGGCGCGCGAUACAGGGUGACAGCCCCGUACACAAAAAUGCACAUGCUGUGAGCUCGAUGAGUAGGGCGGGACACGUGGUAUCCUGUCUGAAUAUGGGGGGACCAUCCUCCAAGGCUAAAUACUCCUGACUGACCGAUAGUGAACCAGUACCGUGAGGGAAAGGCGAAAAGAACCCCGGCGAGGGGAGUGAAAAAGAACCUGAAACCGUGUACGUACAAGCAGUGGGAGCCUCUUUUAUGGGGUGACUGCGUACCUUUUGUAUAAUGGGUCAGCGACUUAUAUUCUGUAGCAAGGUUAACCGAAUAGGGGAGCCGAAGGGAAACCGAGUCUUAACUGGGCGUUAAGUUGCAGGGUAUAGACCCGAAACCCGGUGAUCUAGCCAUGGGCAGGUUGAAGGUUGGGUAACACUAACUGGAGGACCGAACCGACUAAUGUUGAAAAAUUAGCGGAUGACUUGUGGCUGGGGGUGAAAGGCCAAUCAAACCGGGAGAUAGCUGGUUCUCCCCGAAAGCUAUUUAGGUAGCGCCUCGUGAAUUCAUCUCCGGGGGUAGAGCACUGUUUCGGCAAGGGGGUCAUCCCGACUUACCAACCCGAUGCAAACUGCGAAUACCGGAGAAUGUUAUCACGGGAGACACACGGCGGGUGCUAACGUCCGUCGUGAAGAGGGAAACAACCCAGACCGCCAGCUAAGGUCCCAAAGUCAUGGUUAAGUGGGAAACGAUGUGGGAAGGCCCAGACAGCCAGGAUGUUGGCUUAGAAGCAGCCAUCAUUUAAAGAAAGCGUAAUAGCUCACUGGUCGAGUCGGCCUGCGCGGAAGAUGUAACGGGGCUAAACCAUGCACCGAAGCUGCGGCAGCGACACUGUGUGUUGUUGGGUAGGGGAGCGUUCUGUAAGCCUGUGAAGGUGUACUGUGAGGUAUGCUGGAGGUAUCAGAAGUGCGAAUGCUGACAUAAGUAACGAUAAAGCGGGUGAAAAGCCCGCUCGCCGGAAGACCAAGGGUUCCUGUCCAACGUUAAUCGGGGCAGGGUGAGUCGACCCCUAAGGCGAGGCCGAAAGGCGUAGUCGAUGGGAAACAGGUUAAUAUUCCUGUACUUGGUGUUACUGCGAAGGGGGGACGGAGAAGGCUAUGUUGGCCGGGCGACGGUUGUCCCGGUUUAAGCGUGUAGGCUGGUUUUCCAGGCAAAUCCGGAAAAUCAAGGCUGAGGCGUGAUGACGAGGCACUACGGUGCUGAAGCAACAAAUGCCCUGCUUCCAGGAAAAGCCUCUAAGCAUCAGGUAACAUCAAAUCGUACCCCAAACCGACACAGGUGGUCAGGUAGAGAAUACCAAGGCGCUUGAGAGAACUCGGGUGAAGGAACUAGGCAAAAUGGUGCCGUAACUUCGGGAGAAGGCACGCUGAUAUGUAGGUGAAGUCCCUCGCGGAUGGAGCUGAAAUCAGUCGAAGAUACCAGCUGGCUGCAACUGUUUAUUAAAAACACAGCACUGUGCAAACACGAAAGUGGACGUAUACGGUGUGACGCCUGCCCGGUGCCGGAAGGUUAAUUGAUGGGGUCAGCGCAAGCGAAGCUCUUGAUCGAAGCCCCGGUAAACGGCGGCCGUAACUAUAACGGUCCUAAGGUAGCGAAAUUCCUUGUCGGGUAAGUUCCGACCUGCACGAAUGGCGUAAUGAUGGCCAGGCUGUCUCCACCCGAGACUCAGUGAAAUUGAACUCGCUGUGAAGAUGCAGUGUACCCGCGGCAAGACGGAAAGACCCCGUGAACCUUUACUAUAGCUUGACACUGAACAUUGAGCCUUGAUGUGUAGGAUAGGUGGGAGGCUUAGAAGUGUGGACGCCAGUCUGCAUGGAGCCGACCUUGAAAUACCACCCUUUAAUGUUUGAUGUUCUAACGUUGACCCGUGAUCCGGGUUGCGGACAGUGUCUGGUGGGUAGUUUGACUGGGGCGGUCUCCUCCUAAAGAGUAACGGAGGAGCACGAAGGUUGGCUAAUCCUGGUCGGACAUCAGGAGGUUAGUGCAAUGGCAUAAGCCAGCUUGACUGCGAGCGUGACGGCGCGAGCAGGUGCGAAAGCAGGUCAUAGUGAUCCGGUGGUUCUGAAUGGAAGGGCCAUCGCUCAACGGAUAAAAGGUACUCCGGGGAUAACAGGCUGAUACCGCCCAAGAGUUCAUAUCGACGGCGGUGUUUGGCACCUCGAUGUCGGCUCAUCACAUCCUGGGGCUGAAGUAGGUCCCAAGGGUAUGGCUGUUCGCCAUUUAAAGUGGUACGCGAGCUGGGUUUAGAACGUCGUGAGACAGUUCGGUCCCUAUCUGCCGUGGGCGCUGGAGAACUGAGGGGGGCUGCUCCUAGUACGAGAGGACCGGAGUGGACGCAUCACUGGUGUUCGGGUUGUCAUGCCAAUGGCACUGCCCGGUAGCUAAAUGCGGAAGAGAUAAGUGCUGAAAGCAUCUAAGCACGAAACUUGCCCCGAGAUGAGUUCUCCCUGACUCCUUGA